This 304-nucleotide ribosomal RNA is filed under the name uncultured Legionellales bacterium. RNAcentral describes it as "bacterial SSU rRNA". It matches the Rfam family "Bacterial small subunit ribosomal RNA", at positions 31 to 331 of the family's 1533-position model. The record is from RNAcentral. Lineage: Bacteria; Pseudomonadati; Pseudomonadota; Gammaproteobacteria; Legionellales.
GAACGCUAACGGCAUGCUUAACACAUGCAAGUCGAACGGCAGCACAGCAGUAGCAAUACUGUGGGUGGCGAGUGGCGGACGGGUGAGUAAUACAUAGGAAUCUGCCUUGUAGUGGGGGAUAACCCGGGGAAACUCGGGCUAAUACCGCAUAAUCUUUACGAAGCAAAGUGGGGGACCGUAAGGCCUCAUGCUAUAAGAUGAGCCUAUGUCGGAUUAGCUAGUUGGUGGGGUAAUGGCCUACCAAGGCGACGAUCCGUAGCUGGUCUGAGAGGAUGAUCAGCCACACUGGGACUGAGACACGGCC